GUUGUAUCAAUUUACCUUUUUGUAAGACUAGUAGUAGUGCACGUGCAAUGCACGUAUUGAAAAACAUAAAUUAAAACUAUUACAUAAAAAAGGAAUUAAACCCCACACAUUGUUUAUGUGUGGCAAUUGAAUUUCGCUAGGUAGCCAGCAAAAUAUCCGCCAUCAGAAUCAAUAUACAAAAUAAAAGUAAAAGUCUCAAACCAAAGGUUUGAGAAACUAUGCUUUUCACGCUACUUAACUUCUCACCGCCUCCACCAUCAUGCCCGAAUUAGGAUCAAGCAAUAUGGAUUGCUCAUCUCUCUUGACCCCACAACCUCAUUCGUUUGCCACACAGCAAGGUCUGCCGACUUUUUGUUUCACCUUCAACAAACAAAAAAAAACUAAAGAAAUUAUUUCUUAAUUCUCUGUCAACAACCCAUGGACUAAAAUAUGUCAAACCGAAAAUAACAGGGAAGAAUGAAGCUAGAAUGGUAUAUAGCUUUUUAUAUCCACUGAAUGGCUAUGUUACAAAAGAAAGGAACAAAUGUGGCUUCCCUUCGACAGUGAAAUGACUAAAUAAGCCAAAAGGUAGCUUGAACAAAUGUGACUUCACAUGUCAAGUGAUUGAUUUCUGAAAUGGAUAAUAAGAUUUGGAUUUGAACCUGACAAGUUCACAACCACGUGCUCUAAGUGAAGUUUUACCAUUCUUUCCAUAGUUAAUAGAAAUUUAGUGUAAACCGGUUAAUUGCAAAAAACUCAAAUAUUAUUACACCAAAAGAUGAUCAUCUUGUAAAAUAAUGAGCCAUGAGAAAUGUUGAAUCUGGAUAGCAAAAGAAAACCUACCUUUUUAAUUUAAAGAAAUCUAGCAUUUUCUUUUCCUUCACCAUAUUUUCCACACCAGACUAUAGCAAAAAGAAACACCACAAAAAACACAGGGACAUUUGUGUCGAAGCAAGAUUUCGACAAUAAUAAAAGGGGGUGGCUAUCAAGCUAGGAAAGUGGAUGGGUUUAGAGACAAGGGAUUUUAUACAGGUUCAGGCCUUCUUAUUCAAGAAGUAAUACCCUACUCCUGUCCGGGGAUGAUUCCGCCGAGUGUAUUAUUGAUUGUAUAAAUUGGAAAAAAGAAUCGCGUCCUGAGAGGCACAUGGACCCUCCUUAUAUAGGGGAAGGAGUCCACUUUACAAAGUACCGUCCAUAUCCUAACGGAAUAUGGGAUUAUAGAUAAAAUACAAUCGUAACCGACUAGGAUCCCGGGUAUUUUCUUGACAUACAAGUUUAGAAUCUAACCCGAGUCCUUAUAGAGAUAUUCUGUCUAUAUUUGGUACCAUAUAUCCGACUAAAUUAUAACUGUCAUGUAGAUAUGGGGUAUCCAUCAUCUCCACAGUAGUCCCCGAGACCUUCGCAAUUGACAGUAAUAGCCUUCUCAAAACAAAAAACAGUAAUCCGAGUGCUUCAAUUCAACUUGCUCCAGCUUGCCGAGUGCUAAAAUCAAAGACUGCGAAGGGCGAAAAUAAAACAUGGUGCAUCGAGUAGAUGCACCUAAUUAGGUGUAGCCCCCGACUAUGUGAUUAGUUAAAAAACUAAACAUAUAGUCAAGAACCGAGUGGUUUUAUAGCGAAGCACGCAUGGUACUUAGUAAGAUACCCAGCCGACUGCUUCUCAACUUGAACAUAUCAAGGACAAAAAAUACAAGAAGGGUUGAGUGAUAAAUACUCAAAGGUCCAAAAAUAGACAUGUUUGAUAGGAAUCCGAGUAAAAAUCUCAUACGUCGAGACUGUCCCAAGAGGUUGGAGUAUAACGCCAACCUCCCUGGAUCUAGAUCGGAUCGGGGCCGAAGCCGGAGCUCGCCUAGAUCUUCGAGUGGGAGAUGUCUUGACUGUGAAGACAGCGGCCAAAUCAUCAGGAAGUUUCAUCAGGAUUGAGGGAUAGGACCCGUCGUCUUGAUCUGGUGGCGGAAAAGUAGAUUGGAUCUCGUCCGAGUGGUUUGAAGCCGACUCGGGAGAGAUGAUCUUGGAGUAGGCCUCGGCCGAGUUCGGAAUACCGAACGGCACAGGGACCUGGUCUCUUCCCGACUGGUUGGAAUCCGAGUCAAGGAGAGAGAUCUUGCCGAAGUCGUUGGUGAUGAAGUUGAGGCUGCCGAACCGGAACGUCUGCUCAGGAGGGAAGGCGAAGUCGUCGAUGCCAGAAACGGAACCCAUCGCACUUAGUCGGCAAAAACUUGACGCUGCCCCUACCUGGCGCGCCAACUGUCGAAGCAAGAUUUCGACAAUAAUAAAAGGGGGUGGCUAUCAAGCUAGGAAAGUGGAUGGGUUUGGAGACAAGGGAUUUUAUACAUGUUCAGGUCUUCUUAUUCAAGAAGUAAUACCCUACUCCUGUCCGGGGAUGAUUCCGCCGAGUGUGUUAUUGAUUGUAUAAAUUGGAAAAAAGAAUCGCGCCCCGAGAGGCACAUGGACCCUCCUUAUAUAGGGGAAGGAGUUCGCUUUACAAAGUACCGUCCAUAUCCUAACGGAAUAUGGGAUUAUAGAUAAAAUACAAUCGUAACCGACUAGGAUCCCGGGUAUUUUCUUGACAUACAAGUUUAGAAUCUAACCCGAGUCCUCAUAGAGAUAUUCUAUCUAUAUUUGGUACCAUAUAUCCGACUAAAUUAUAACUGUCAUGUAGAUAUGGGGUAUCCAUAAUCUCCACAGUUUGGUAUAGGACUUAAUAUGUAGCAUGCAUAAUUUAAUGGAUUAACAUCGCUUUAGAAUAAAUAUCUACAUGAAAGAAAUUGAAGAAUAACGAACAUAGAUAUAUAUGAAAGGAGGAGUAGAGAAAUAAAUGGAAUGUCCUGGUUUUUCUUGUUGGGUAAUAUCUGUGUAUCUCCAACCGUUUUCCAGAGUUUGUAAUCCAGAAUGAAUAAGUCUAAAAGGUACUGCAUUCUGACCAUAGGACACACCGAAGUCUGAAAUUUAAUAAAAAAAUGUUCACCCGCAAAAUAAGUAUUUGCCCAAUAGAUUUCCGGUUUCUAAUGUUCAGGUGUAAAUGGUAGCCUAUACUAAUUCAAGUGAGAUUACCUUCACACCACGGAGGGAUUGUUUGAGAGGAGAGGAAAAGAGAAGAUUGAGAAGAUACGCAAAAUAAGGUGAGCCAUUAACGCAUGAUUAAUUGAGUAUUAACUAUUUUAAAUUUUAAGAAUGGAUUAAUAUGAUUUUUUAAAACAACUUUUCUAUAGAAAAUUUUUUAAAAAACGCACCGUUUAGUAGUUUCGGAAGUGUGCGUACAGAAAACGAGGUGUUUUCUCUCCCAAUCACCCAGGAACAAGAGUUGAUAAUGUUAAAAAGGUGAAUUUUGGCAUGUCGAUAGCAAGUCCUUGGCCACUAUAAAGACCACUCGUGGAGAUGGAUUUUUAUCCCUCGAGAGGGCACCCUCUCAUUUUGUGCAUUUCAUUUAAAAAAUCAUCAACAAAUUUUAAAAAGAAAUGUUAAGAUAGAUCAAUAUAUGAUAUACCUUUCCACAAACAUGUAAGUUAAAAUUCGACUUUUACAAUUUGAAACAAAAAUAACAAAUUUAACCACGAUUUACGCAUUCUGUUCAUUGUCAAAUUUGUUGUUUUUGUUUCUAAUUGUAUAAGUUGAAAUUGAAUAUGCAUGUUUCUAAUUUAGGAUCUAUAUUUUUUUGUCUAAAUGCAAAGCACAUCUUGAUGUAAUUGUAGAAGAAGUUAUCUUUUUUAAAAAUUUGACUUAUAUAAUUUGAAACGAACAUGUAAGUUAAAAUUCGAUUUAUACAAUUCAAAACAAAAAUAACAAAUUUAACCAUGAUUUACACAUUCUAUUCAUUGUCAAAUUUGUUGUUUUUGUUUUUAAUUGUAUAAGUUGAAUUUGAAUAUGCAUGUUUACGGAAUGAUAUAUCACAUAUUGAUCUAUCUUACUAUUUUUUUUUCAAUUUUUUUGAUAACCUUUUAAGGGACAUGUAAAAAUAAGGAGAUAUCCCUUUAAGGAAUGAUUAGUGUUUCCCUACACUCUUCUCCUUUGCCUAUGCAUGCACACAACAAUGAGAAACUAAUGCGAAAUGGCAAUAUGUCCCCCUGAAACUGGCCCUCAGAUGUUUCUGUCACACCUACAAAAGCAUAAACUUUGAUAAUGUCACAUGCUCAUAGGCAUAGCACCGGUCUAAGUGGCAAUUAUUACAAUAAUUUUACCAUCUAUGUUUUCCUAAUAAUUAUCCCAUCCUCAAAAGAAUAUGUGAUUGUAGAAGAAGUUAUUUUUUUUUAAGGGAAAACACUGUAGGGAAAGCCCCCACAGUUAAUAUAUUGAAAAAAAAUAAAAGGAAAAUAAUUACAACAUAUUAAUCCAAUUAGUAAGUGUAUCUCUCUCAAAUAAAUUAAGCCUAUGGACUAAAAGGGAGAGAUCAUUCUUAAAGAGAACUCUCUAAGAGGAAACAAAAAGAGCAAUAUUAUCAAAAAUUAAACCAUUUCUUUACUUCCAUAUGUUCCAUAUGUAGAAGAAGUUAUCAAGGGACUACAUCCAGUCAGAACCAUAUCCAACACAUUCUAGGCCGAUGUGCAAUUAGUGGUGAGCUUUAUGUCCUAAAAGAAAAUGAUGUUCUGAUUUUUCCUAUUAUAUGAAUGUUCAGCCACAUCAUCGGUAGCCACUGCACUCUAUCAUUCAAUGGGAUCAGAUAUAAGGAAGAGGUACAUCUGAAGGUUGAAAAAUUUCUCAAUUCAAAUGGUAUAUCAAAACCCACAAGUUACACUUUCUCCAAAAGUAAAGAAAAUUUUAUUAACUUUCCGAUGACAAAUUUUACCUCAUAUGUGCAUAUCCGUUGGUUGGCUGUGAUUAAAGGAACCAUAACAUUUAGUAACCAAGUUUAAUCCUGGGAGUUCAGCAAAUUAAAAAAAUAUACAUAACAUUAGUGAAAAUCUAUGUACAAUACAGGAAGCAAUUCAGAUGAAGGAAAUCAUAUGUAUAAAAUAAAUCAAAUGUUUUGGCAAAAAAAGAAGACAUCAAUACAUCCAUAACAACACAAUGUCCCUAUUCAGUGUGUAUUUUACCUGUUAGUGCAGGCGAUUGUGAUACAGUGCUCUGUAUGUUCAUUGAAAUAAGCAGAGGCCAGUCGCUUUCUGACCUUGGGUGAUUAUUCAAAUCCAGUCGAGGCCAAUCAUGUUGUCAGGAAGUAGUAAUCAAAUUAGGACGUGUUUCAAUAAUCAUUAACAUAACAUGUAAGCUGAAAUAAUGGAAUUAGCACUCAAUGGAUUGAUAUUACUAACCCGCUGUCAAGAGGAACUGCGAUCGAAUUGGUCCGUCAUUUUUUGUCAUAUGCGGACUCGAGAAUGCUCUGGUGGCAGAAUCACGGAGCAGCAAGGACUCCGACGGAAAACCACUUACUCCAUGCCGUGCGGCAGCAAGGCUUGCCCCGCACGACGGCUAGUGGAGGUGACUUGAUGACCCUUGGGGCGCGAUGUAGCAGAGGAGGCUCAACGGAUGGCAGCGUAUGCACGGGAUGGGCGACUGAUUGAGCCCGUGGUGUGGCGGCGAAAGGGAAAACGAAGAUUGGCGUGGCGCCGCAGCAACGAAGGGAAGGCAGAGACCGUUACGGUAGUAGCGAAUGCAUGGAUGGAAGCGGCUGGCGGGCUACGGUGCUA
Molecule: long non-coding RNA, 5599 nt
Filed under: Oryza sativa (Asian cultivated rice)
Lineage: Eukaryota; Viridiplantae; Streptophyta; Magnoliopsida; Poales; Poaceae
Description: long non-coding RNA (OSAT_LNC000591)
Source: RNAcentral